CGUGUAGGCGGUCUGAUAAGUUCGGCGUGAAAUUCCCCGGCUUAACCGGGGGAUGUCGUCGGAGACUGUCGGACUAGAGGGUGAUAGAGGCGUGUGGAAUUCCGGGUGUAGUGGUGAAAUGCGUAGAGAUCCGGAGGAACACCAGUGGCGAAGGCGACACGCUGGGUCACACCUGACGCUAAAACGCGACAGCAUGGGGAGCAAACG
This 207-nucleotide ribosomal RNA is filed under the name uncultured bacterium. Its description in RNAcentral is "partial 16S ribosomal RNA". It matches the Rfam family "Bacterial small subunit ribosomal RNA", at positions 568 to 774 of the family's 1533-position model. The record is from RNAcentral.